This is a long non-coding RNA of Helicoverpa armigera (cotton bollworm), 287 nucleotides long. RefSeq lists it as uncharacterized. NCBI's taxonomy places the organism in Eukaryota, Metazoa, Arthropoda, Insecta, Lepidoptera, Noctuidae. The record is from RefSeq and is a predicted model, not a curated record. The transcript has 2 exons.
CGAGUAUACAUCAACUUAGAUUAGCGCCACAUAAUACGAUUAUAAGCCGUUUAAUAUCGAUUCAAUUACGAUUUUUUGUGGCAACGUAUGUAGCCGACCUAUAACCGUUCACAUAACAUUUUUCAAGUAAGAGUACGAACACACUGCAAACUUUUAGUCGGCCGGUAGUUUGUUUGGGCUCAUAAAUAAGUAUGAAGAUGAAUGGUUGAACGUACGUUACCAAGAUUAGGUAUUUAGCUGGUAUCAGACCGACUGAGAACUUUAAACAGAAUCAAGAUUUUUUUUUU